Diachasmimorpha longicaudata is the source of this 755-nucleotide long non-coding RNA. RefSeq lists it as uncharacterized. Lineage: Eukaryota; Metazoa; Arthropoda; Insecta; Hymenoptera; Braconidae. The record is from RefSeq and is a predicted model, not a curated record. The transcript has 3 exons.
GUGCUGCAAGAAAAUAUUAAUUUUGCCAGGAAUUAUUUUAUUGAAAUGGACAUUGAUUUUUUCGAGAGUGUGAGACAGUCCCAUCAAUGCAGGACACAGCAUUGGUAGAUGAAUAUUAGCUUCUGAUGAUGAGGAGUCGAUGUCCCUUUGGUAAACUGCUGAAUACGAAUUCUCGAAAAAAAUACUAAAAAUAAAUUACAGGAAAUAAAUUGAAAUGAACUACAUUCACGUUAUUUUUUUGCGAUGAAAUCACUCAGAAGCGUAAAAUACGCUAGUGAAAUAGGAGAAAUUUAAAAGUUAUGAUGGAUUGCUGUACCAAAAAAUCAAAAACUAGAAUUGGAACGAUUACAAAGUUUCAAACGAAAGCAAACGGGGAACGAGUGAUCCACUCGUCAUAAAAAUAAACUCAGCAAAUACCUGGAAACAUACACUCGAUAGUUGCCAUUUCUCCGCAUGAAAAAUCCUAUAAAUUUGACUGUUCAGAGGGCCCCCAUUCGUUGAGCCUCACUGACAUCACACGAAUUCUAUCAAGCUCUAUUGCACAUAUUUCCUCGCAUCCGAUGGGUUUGGCAUUGAUUAAUGUAUCGCAAAGGUUCUUCCUCCGGAUUUUCAGUUUCCUACAGUUCCCAGAGAAACCGGCAUUUGUACUCUUGAAAAUAUUUUUUGGAAUAACUCCGGGUGAUCCGGGAUUUCAUAGCGAUUGCCAGGGGAAAAGUCGAGUCUGAAUGGAGGGUAAAUUCAGCGAUCGGUUACUG